This 566-nucleotide ribosomal RNA is filed under the name Aurelia malayensis. RNAcentral describes it as "partial large subunit ribosomal RNA". It matches the Rfam family "Bacterial large subunit ribosomal RNA", at positions 1925 to 2623 of the family's 2925-position model. Lineage: Eukaryota; Metazoa; Cnidaria; Scyphozoa; Semaeostomeae; Ulmaridae. The record is from RNAcentral.
UAAUGGCCGCGGUAACUCUGACCGUGAUAAAGUAGCAUAAUCACUCGUCACUUAAUUGGUGACUGGAAUGAAUGGCUAAACGAAUCCUUCCCUGUCUCUGAAAGAACUCUGGCAAAUUUGAAGUAAUAGUGAAGAUGCUAUUAGAUAAUUGUAAGACGAAAAGACCCUAUCGAGCUUUACUGGACACUUGUAUUUUGAUAUACUUGAUCAUUACAAAGUUUCUCAUAGUGCAAGAUUGACAGUUUGGUUGGGGCGACCACCCCUAAAAAUGUAUCAGGGGAACUCUAAAGGUUGUUACAACAUGAAAAGUAACCUUACUGAAGAUAGACAAAUCAGCCAGUUAUGAUAAAUAGGACAUACUGACCCGUUAUUUUUGCUCAUAAUAAAUAACGACCAUGAAAAAAGUUACCGUAGGGAUAACAGGGUAAUAUUUUCGGAGAGUUCAUAUCGAUGAAGAUGUUUGCCACCUCGAUGUUGAAUUGUGAUAUCCUAAGGGUGCAGCAGCUCUUAAGGGUUGGUCUGUUCGACCAUUAAAAUCACACAUGAUUUGAGUUCAUUCCGUCGUA